UUGGAGGGCAAGUCUGGUGCCAGCAGCCGCGGUAAUUCCAGCUCCAAUAGCGUAUAUUAAAGUUGUUGCAGUUAAAAAGCUCGUAGUUGAAUUUCGAGAUCAGUACGCUGGUCGUGCCUUCGGUAUGCACUGGUGUCUCUGGUUUCUCCCUUCUGAAGAACCGUCAUGUCAUUAAGUUGAUGUGGCGGGGAAUCAGGACUGUUACUUUGAAAAAAUUAGAGUGUUUAAAGCAGGCUCGCGCUUGAAUACAUUAGCAUGGAAUAAUGAAAUAGGACGUUUGACCCUAUUUUGUUGGUUUCUAGGAUCGACGUAAUGAUUAAUAGGAAUAGUUGGGGGCAUUAGUAUUCAAUUGUCAGAGGUGAAAUUCUUGGAUUUAUUGAAGACUAACUACUACGAAAGCAUUUGCCAAGGAUGUUUUCAUUAAUCAAGAACGAAAGCUAGGGGAUCGAAGACGAUCAGAUACCGUCGUAGUCUUAACCAUAAACUAUGCCGACUAGGGAUCGGAUGAUGUUAAUUUUUUAAUGACUCAUUCGGCGCCUUACGGGAAAC
Molecule: ribosomal RNA, 549 nt
Filed under: uncultured Glomus
Lineage: Eukaryota; Fungi; Glomeromycota; Glomeromycetes; Glomerales; Glomeraceae
Description: SSU rRNA
Rfam family: Eukaryotic small subunit ribosomal RNA
Source: RNAcentral